RNAcentral lists this non-coding RNA (23 nucleotides) under Arabidopsis thaliana (thale cress). Lineage: Eukaryota; Viridiplantae; Streptophyta; Magnoliopsida; Brassicales; Brassicaceae. The record is from RNAcentral.
AAAGCAGCUAGCAUAGGUUCGAU